AUUAGAUACCCUAUUAUUUUUAUUGUAAAAACAAUAAAACUAGAGUACUAUUAGAUAUAGUCUUUAAACUUAAAGAAUUUGGCGGUAUUAUAGUCUAUUUAGAGGAAUCUGUUAUGUAAUUGAUAAUCCACGUUGAACCUUACUUAUAAUUAAUUCUUGUAUAUCGCUGUUUAUGAAUAUAUUUUUAGAUAAUUUUCUAAAUAUUUAAUUAAUUAAUAUUUCAAGUCAAGGUGCAGUAAUAUUUAAGUUUAAUAAUGGAUUACAAUAAAUUUUAUUUAUUAUGAAUAGUUAUUGUAAUAUGUAAUUGAAGGUGGAUUUAAUUGUAAUUUUAUAAAGAUUAUUAAAAUGAUAAAAGCUCUAUAAUAUGUACACAUCGCCCG
Molecule: ribosomal RNA, 380 nt
Filed under: Stenopyga ziela
Lineage: Eukaryota; Metazoa; Arthropoda; Insecta; Mantodea; Mantidae
Description: partial 12S ribosomal RNA
Source: RNAcentral